Long non-coding RNA from Erigeron canadensis, 2897 nucleotides. RefSeq lists it as uncharacterized. The transcript is spliced from 3 exons. The record is from RefSeq and is a predicted model, not a curated record. Lineage: Eukaryota; Viridiplantae; Streptophyta; Magnoliopsida; Asterales; Asteraceae.
UAAAUAUCUUUUCACACUUUUUUUUUUCUUUUUCAAACAAAGCUUGUCAACUGUUUAGGUGGUCUUUUGUGGUUAUGGAGGUUGUAUGUAUUAAAAAUAGACUCUGACCCGUUUAGACUGGGUUCUUGUAUGUUUGACCCGUUUAGAAUGGCAAAUGAGAUUUUUGUUUAAGUUAGCUUUUUGACUCAGAGGUGCGUGGCCUAACCUAGGAAAACCCGUAACCAUUUCCGAUUUCUUUUCCCGGACCAUCUCCAAGAUGUAAAAUUUAGGAGGUUUGUCAUCUCCAAGAUGUGUAUUAGGGCACUAGGCCACCUUGGCGAGUUGGCGGUGGUAGUUCAUGUUUGAAACAUUUAGAGAUCAAAUAUAACCCAAGUCAGCGUAGUUUAGUAAAAUGGUUUGAAAAGGUCACAACCGAGGCAUUGAUGAUGAGCUUCUUAUUGUAUUAGCUAAUUAUCCAAAGAUGUGAUUAACGGUAUCUUUGUGGGGUAACUUUCUGCGGUUUUGUGUAUGAAUUAUUUGGAAUUAUCAACCUUAAUUGAUUUUUAGGUGUAAUGCAGCUAUGCCGGUUUAAUCCUCUUUAUUCAGAUUCAUUUUCUAAAUACACAUAUAUAUCCUUUGUUAGACGUAAAAGUAUUAAUUAUAGAUGACAAACUCUAAACAUGGGAGGUAACUACUGGUUUUCUACCUUGAAUUUGCCUAUGUCAGAUUUUAUGGCGGUGGGACAAAUGGGAUUGGCUUUGAGUGUGAGAGUGUAUAUGAAGUUAUAUUUGAAACUUGAAUCAAUUUGCUUUCUUCAUUGUUUUAUCAUAUUAUGUCUUUCACCAUUUUUGUUAAUAUAACUCAAAGAUUUCUUGGUUGUUUUGAUUAUUUUUGUGUAUGGUUCACAUUUGUUGCCAAGGAAAGUACGAGCCAAUCUAUUCUUUAAAUAAAUCUCUUUAAACAACUUGAGAGUUGAGUCCCAUGGAAUUUUUGCUUUAUGUUAUUCGGUACUCUUGGGCUUUGUUCAGUUUCGACCAAGGUCUUGAGUAAGUCGGUUUCAGCUUGGUGGGUUUGGGUUUGCGACUCUGCUGUUGUAUUGAUUGCUAGGUCCAUGUGAAUUUUGUUCGUCUAAUGUUUUUAUGUGUUCUGUUUUUAAUUUGUGUGUCAAGUAUUCAAGGGGGGUUGGCUUUUCUAGAUGGGCAGUUUCCUUUAUUCAAGUAGUAGUGUCUUUUAUCUGCUUGUGCCGAGGCCCGAGAUACAUAAUUGCUGGUGUUGUUGAUUUAAUAGUUUAAAAAGGUGGUCUCCAAAAAGAAAGCUUGAUUGCAAAGCUCUAUAACAAUACCAUCUUUGACUUUGUAUUGUAUAAUAAAGUGUAACACUAUGCUAAUAUUUUUUAUUUUAUUUUAUUUUAUUUAUUUAUUUUUUUUUUGCCGUUCUAAAAAUGAAAAAACACUAUGCUAAUGUUUUUUUUUCAAGUACCAUGGUGUGGGUUCUACUAUUUGGAAUUCGGGCUAUAAAUGGCUAAGACAAAAUGGGGAUUACAGAUAGCUGGCUUGGGGUUCCAGAGUUACAAGACUAAGCCUUUGUAGUUAAAGGAAAUGAACUGUUGUAUCAUAGUGGGAGGUUAGAGGCUUAGAGCAUAGUUAGGUUACUUGGGAUCAAGCCCCUGAACAUUAAUUUGAGAAGCAAAUAUUUUUAAGAGGUUGUAAGCAUAUAACUUAGCCCUGGGUGGAUUUCAACUUUUUUUUUUUUGCUACAUUCGACCUGUUAAAUACAUAGAACAAUAUUGACAUGUUUAGUAAGAGGCUUUUGAGGAGCUUAAAGCCCCAUGCUUUAAAAAACAAGCCCGUUUCAGAUAAUAGCCUUGUUUGAAAUGGUUUUUUGAAAAAAAGCCUCAGCCCCAAACCUCCUUUUAAAGGUCUUUAAAAUAAAAGCUUGUCAAAGGUGAGUUGAACAAAAAAAAACCCCAGCUUCUAGCCCCAAGCUCCAGCUUUUUUUACGUGUUAUGUUACAUGUAUAGUAUUGUGCUUGAACUUCUAUUUGAGAUGCUUAUGUGGUUAGUAUAUCUGUCAAUGUAAUGUGUAUUUGGCUGGUUUUGGAAAGCACAAUUCAGUCUCAACUUUUGAUUGUUAAUGAAGAUCUUAACAUGCAAUACUCUUCAUCUGAUGGAAACAUAGAGUCCUUAUAGUCCAGUUGUCUUAAUUCGCCAUUAUACAUGUGUAGUGGUCAUUUGUGCAGGUGACAAAAGGGGGACAUGUUUUGGUUAUCUGUAAGAAUUGGAAAUAGAAUGGGCGCCACAUUUUGAAUGGAAAGGAGUAUAAAUGGUUGAGUUUACUACUUGUGCUUGCUGAACUGAUAUCUGUUUAGAGACAAAACAUUAACCAAAUCAACUUAUUUGAGUAAAGGGUUUAAAAUUGCCAUCUGAAGGCGGUGAAUCCAGUGAUGAUGAAUUUCUAAAUGUUGGAAUAAUAAGACAGAUGAGAUUAGCGGAAUCUUGGCAGGGGGGUGUUAAAGGCCAAGUUUUGAUGCUUCUUUUUUAAUAUGAAAAUAUAAACGGAUGGACAAGUCUAAGCUACUUCGGAGAUGAUGUCAAACAAUUGACAGGAACUUUAAUAAGCCAGUUAGCCUUGGCUGCCAAGAAAAUAUGAAAUACUCAUUGAAGAUAAAUGGCUAUAUCUGGGUGGGGUACCCAUAUACUACCCAUAGUUAAAGAGCAGAGAUUUACGUUUCCACCUGCAACAGGCGUUGUUAGAGAUAGAAGCUGCAGUUGAAGGAAUUUGGUUUUGAAUAUCGUAAACCGCCUAAAAAAGAGGUUUUGAAGAUCUUAGGUUAGGCCAUUAUUUUUACUUUGUCAUAUCUCUGGAGUUAGUUUUGGGAAUUUAUUCUUGUACUAAUAAAAUGUACAUUUUUGUCUUGAA